CCUUACCCCUGUCCUCACCUGCCCCUUGCCCACUCCUCCAGGCAACUGGCUUCUUUUUUUUUUUUUUUUUUUUUUUUUUUUAGAUUUUAUUUAUUUUUUUGACAGAGAUAGAGACAGCCAGCGAGAGAGGGAACACAAGCAGGGGGAGUGGGAGAGGAAGAAGCAGGCUCAUAGUGGAGGAGCCUGAUGUGGGACUCGAUCCCAGAACGCCGGGAUCACGCCCUGAGCCGAAGGCAGACGCUUAACCGCUGUGCCACCCAGGCGCCCCGCAACUGGCUUCUCCACCCCUAUAAAAGGGACCUGGGGGGGCCAGGAGAAAAGAUGAAAAGCAAAAACAGUAUUCAGCAUUGGUUUUGCAGUGGACGUUACAGAGGAAGCGCCCCCCCUGCGCAGUGAGAGGGGCAGCCAAGCUCCUUCCCCGGGAUGACACUGGGCGUCCCAGCGCAAGCCCCCGCAGCUUUGACCUGUGCUGCAAGCAGCGAGCAGCAGCGGUGCUUUACCCUCACUUAUUUUGUGCGCCCGUUAGCAAGAUGUGUCCUAAGGCCAUUUCGACUUACAAAAGGUUUCAUAGGAACGCUUGACUUCUGCAUGGCUGGGGACACCUGUAUAUCUGAUAAGGGAUUGUAUCCAGAUUAG
Molecule: long non-coding RNA, 636 nt
Filed under: Ursus maritimus (polar bear)
Lineage: Eukaryota; Metazoa; Chordata; Mammalia; Carnivora; Ursidae
Description: lncRNA (ENSUMAG00000025096.1)
Source: RNAcentral